CCUAAUUUCAUUUUUCAGAAUCGCUGUCAUUAAGAGGUAUCCAAGAAGUAGGCGAAAACAGACAUCCAAAAGGAGGAACAGCUCCUGAAAAUGAAACGAUGAUCCAUGAUACUGAAGAACCAGGAACAUUUUAUCCUCCAAUCAACGAAACCCCCGCUGAGCCAACCGCACCAGAUCUGUCUAUCCCAGGACUGACAUGUCCACCAAUACAUGUUUCAUCAGCCUGGUCUACUUCAAACCCAUCUAGCAAGGGCUGUAAUGGAAUGUACAGCCAUCCACAUAAGGAAACAUACACAUAGUAUUAAUAGUCUAAACACAGGUUACGUUGUAGGUUAUGAGAGACGUCGUAGCUGUACUUUAUGUCAUCUCUGUCUUAUACACGAGCUAGGUGACCACAGCUAGUUUGCUGUUAAGAAACACUCGAAAUUGAUAAUGAAGACAUAAUAUGUGUUGAAAAGAUCAUUUAUUAAUGACAAAUCAAUUAAGAUAUAAAGAUAUAUCCCCAAGUUAUAAAUUAGAGAAAUUAUGACUAUAACAGCAAAGAUGGGGUAAAAAAUAGGCACGACAUGCAUAUUGCACAAACAAUACACCCAUAAUUGAUUUAAAGCAAUAAUUAUCAGCGAUAAUUAUAAAGAUUAUAUAACCUGAAGAUACCAUUUGUAUAUUAGCAAGUAUAAGGAGUCAAAAAUUGACAGAUCUUUACAUGUUACACUGGGAGGGCAUAAGAGUGGGAAAUCAAAAGUGUUACAAAAACUUCCAUCAGUGGAGAUAAACUUUUACAUUCGAUUUUCGAAAUGGAGGUGACGCUACUGAGGGUCAAUCUCCUCUGUGAUAUGUCCGGUGGCUGGGCUACGUGGCUGCUGAUUGGCUGACCAAUCAAAAGCUGAUAUCGCUUCAGCCAAAAUGACCAGAGGUCAAUCAAGUCCUGGGAAGAACUCCGCCGUAGCCGGUCCCAAGCCCGCGUUGAGAAAGGAGGAGGGGAGCACCAACUGACAACACCUAACAGUCACCCCGGACUAAUGUUCUAACCUAGAGUCGCGAAUAGAGGUUGUAACCUAAAUCGAGACUUUAAACCAGCAACAUCAACAUCAACAUCAAGUCCUGGGAAUUUUCCAUCACGUGGCCUAGGUAUGGACCUCCUUCUUGACCCCUCAAUGUUAGCCCAUCUACAUAACAACCAGAAACAAUGGAAGAUGCGAGGGUCCAAAUGCCCCUCUCAUCAUAUAAUAAACAAACAAUUACAGACUGACAUAAAUGUAUUUAUUUAUACAAAUAUAAAUGAAUGUUAUUUA
Long non-coding RNA from Pecten maximus, 1292 nucleotides. RefSeq lists it as uncharacterized. The transcript has 3 exons. Lineage: Eukaryota; Metazoa; Mollusca; Bivalvia; Pectinida; Pectinidae. The record is from RefSeq and is a predicted model, not a curated record.